This 585-nucleotide long non-coding RNA is filed under the name Homo sapiens (human). RNAcentral describes it as "HSALNT0156255". The record is from RNAcentral. Lineage: Eukaryota; Metazoa; Chordata; Mammalia; Primates; Hominidae.
CUGACCUUGUGAUCCACCUACCUUGGCCUCCCAAAGUGCUGGGAUUACAGGCGUGAGCCACCGUGCCUGGCUGAGGAUUCUUAAAAACAAAAAUCACAUAACCACAGUUGCAUUAUCAUGCCUGAGAAAUUGACAGCAGUUUCUUGGUUAUCUUCACCUCUCCCUGAUUGAAAACAUGUUAUUGCAGUUGAUUCCCACGUUUUCCUUUCAUACUUGCAGCCGUUUCAUUGGGUCAUCGCUAGCCACAGACAUGUGCUGCUGGUGGGGGCGGGGGUGGGGGGGUUGGGUAGGUGGGUAAGCAGGAUUAGCCUUGCGUCCCAGGAGGUCUUUCAGCAGGUUGGCUCAUAGUAUCCACCUAAAUCAAACACAAGGGAGAGACAGAAUCUGUAUGGGCAGGCAUGCUGAGUGCCAGCUGUGCUUGGUGAAUUCCCCAUGUCUCUGUGGGUGGGUGAUGCUGUAUGCAUCUUAAUAUUUGGGGAUGGGAAACAAUUGGGGCAAAAGAUCCAGCCUUUGCUGAUCACUCACUCAAAGUCAUUUGGAAACACAUACACAUUUAUCCUCACAGUUUUUGUUUACAGUUAAGAU